CCCUUAGAUGUUCUGGGCUGCACGCGCGCUACACUGAUGCAUGCAACGAGUUCUAUCCUUGGCCGGAAGGCCUGGGUAAUCUGUGAACGUGCAUCGUGAUAGGGAUAGAUUAUUGCAAUUAUUAAUCUUGAACGAGGAAUUCCUAGUAAACGCAAGUCAUCAGCUUGCAUUGAUUACGUCCCUGCCCUUUGUACACACCGCCCGUCGCACCUACCGAUCGAAGGUAAUGAUGAGCCCUCAGGAUUGUGGCCUCGUCGCGUCAGCGUCUUGGCUGCGAGAAUCUGUGCAAAUCCCUACCUUUAGAGGAAGGUGAANUCGUANCA
This 323-nucleotide ribosomal RNA is filed under the name uncultured eukaryote. RNAcentral's name for it is "partial 18S ribosomal RNA". It matches the Rfam family "Eukaryotic small subunit ribosomal RNA", at positions 1470 to 1796 of the family's 1831-position model. The record is from RNAcentral.